This 944-nucleotide ribosomal RNA is filed under the name uncultured organism. RNAcentral's name for it is "bacterial SSU rRNA". It matches the Rfam family "Bacterial small subunit ribosomal RNA", at positions 462 to 1421 of the family's 1533-position model. The record is from RNAcentral.
AUGCGGUAUGACGGUACCCUUUCGAAUAAGAGGUUGCUAACUCUGUGCCAGCAGCAGCGGUAAUACAGAGACCUCGAGCGUUAUCCGGAUUUACUGGGCGUAAAGCGUCUGUAGGGGGUUUGUUAAGUUCCAAGUAAAAUCUUAAGGCUCAACUUUAAGUUCGCUUGGAAAACUAAUAAACUGGAGUCCAGCAGAGGUGCAUGGAACUUGCGGUGUAGGAGUGAAAUCCGUUGAUAUCGCAAGGAACACCAAAGGCGAAGGCAUUGCACUGGGCUGGUACUGACCCUGAGAGACGAAAGCGUGGGGAGCAAAACGGAUUAGAUACCCGUGUAGUCCACGCCGUAAACGAUGGAUACUAGAUGUUCGGGGAUUCGACCCCCUGGGUGUCACAGCUAACGCGUUAAGUAUCCCGCCUGGGAAGUACGGCCGCAAGGCUAAAACUCAAAGGAAUAGACGGGGAUCCGCACAAGCGGUGGAGCGUCUGGUUUAAUUUGAUAGUAAGCAAUGGACCUCACCAAGGUUUGACAUCCUAUGACAACCCUGGAAACAGGGCUUCCUUCGGGCAUAGUGACAGGUGCUGCAUGGUCGUCGUCAGUUCGUGCCGUGAGGUGUUCCGUUAAGUCGGGAAACGAACGAAACCCUCGUCGCAUGUUACAAAUUUCAUGCGAGACUGCCCGGGUCAACCGGGAGGAAGGCGGGGAUGACGUCAGAUCAGCAUGGCCCUUAUACCUUGGGCUACACAGGCGCUACAAUGGCCGGUACAAAGGGUUGCAAAACCGCGAGGUGAAGCUAAUCCCAUAAAGCCGGUCCAAGUUCGGAUUGGAGGCUGCAACUCGCCUCCAUGAAGUUGGAAUCGCUAGUAAUCGUGGAUCAGCCAUACCACGGUGAGUACGUUCCCGGAUCUUGUACUCACCGCCCGUCACACCAAGAGAGUUGGUAGCUCC